RNAcentral lists this microRNA precursor (61 nucleotides) under Callorhinchus milii (elephant shark). RNAcentral's name for it is "Cmi-Novel-3_pre stem-loop". The record is from RNAcentral. Lineage: Eukaryota; Metazoa; Chordata; Chondrichthyes; Chimaeriformes; Callorhinchidae.
UUGUUAGUGUGCCUUGUAAAUAUGUGAUUCUUAAACUUGUUUACAAAGUGCACUAGAGCCA